RNAcentral lists this long non-coding RNA (3133 nucleotides) under Homo sapiens (human). RNAcentral describes it as "HSALNT0145637". Lineage: Eukaryota; Metazoa; Chordata; Mammalia; Primates; Hominidae. The record is from RNAcentral.
GUCCAAGGGCAGGAGAUGGGUGUCUCCCUCCAGAAAAGAGAAUUUGCUUGUCUUCUCCCUUUGUGUUCCAUCUGGGUCCCCAACCAAGUGGAUGUGCCUGCCCACGCUGAGGGCAGAUCUUCACUGAGUCCACUGAAAACAUCCUCACACACUCAGAAACAAUGCUUCGCCAGCUGCCAAGUACAGUGUGUGUGCCUUAGUCCCAGCUACUCAGGAGGCUAAGGUGGGAGAAACGCUUGAGCCUGGGAGCUGGAGGCUGCAGUAAGCCAUGAUUGUGCCAUUGCACUCCAGGCUGGCUGACAGAGAGAUCCUGCCUCAAAAAAAGAGAUAGAUAGAUAGAUAGAUAGAUAGAGCUCCACCAGCCAUCUAGGCUUUUUUUUUUUAAACAGGGUGUCACUCUGUCAACCAGGUUGGAGUGCCGUGGUGCUAUCAUAGCUCACUGCAGCCUUGACUUCCCAGGCUCAACCCAUCCUCCCACCUCAGCCUCCUGAGUAGCUGGGACUACAGCGUACAGGCACAGACCACGAUACCUGACUUAUUUUUAAAUUUUUUGUAGAGAAGUUUCACCAUGUUGCCCAAGCUGGUCUCAAACUCCUGGGCUUAAGCAAACCUCCCACCUCAGCCUCCCAAAGUGAUGGGAUUACAGGCAGGAGACAUGGCAGCCAGCUAAGGCUCCCUGUACCCUGUUAGUCGGCUUUACAGCACCUGGAAUUGACCGCCACACGGAGCCUGGCGCUAAGGCCUGGCUGUGCCCAAUGGUUCUGCACGAAGACCCGGGCCGGCCUGUGGGGAGCUCAGCUGCAUAUGCGUCUGUGGCGCCCCCUGUGCCCUGCUCUUUGGGGACUGAGCAUAGCUGCCCCUCCCUCUCUCCCUUCUGCCCGCUCCUGGACAUUUCCGGAAGGCCCCAGGAAAUGGUGGCUGAUAGUGGUUCCUGAGGCCACACCACGGGCUGCCUGGUGCCCUUUCCCUCCCCAGUGCCCGGCUGGAGCAAGAAGCCGAGCUCCUGAUGGGAGCUGGCCCUUUCUUUAGACUUUGCUUCACCUUCAGGACAGGGGGUUCUGAAUUUCUGCGCUAGGGCCCCGCCGGCUUGGGUGGGCUUCCAGCGUGAAUCCUCGGCCUGUCGUCCCCGUCAUCAGGAAGCCCAACAGGGCGCCCGCCUGCCCUCUGUGUCCUCCCCGGGCUCGCGGCCGUGCACCUUCUGGUGCUGGAUGAGGGUGGACAGCCGGCUGCAGGCCCUCCCGCAGGCGCGGCACCGGUAUGGCCUCUCGCCGCUGUGGAGCCGGUAGUGCUCGUUCAGCGUGUAGCUCCUGCGGAACGCCUUGCCGCACUCGGUGCACGCGAAGGGCUUCUCCUUGGUGUGGAUCUUCUGGUGCAGAGUGAGGUUGGACUUGCGACCGAAGGCCUUGCCGCACUCCGCGCACUCGAACGGCUUCUCGCCCGUGUGUAGGCGCAGGUGCAGCAGCAGCAGGGAGUUGUGUCGGAACGGCCUCCCGCACACCGGGCACUCGUGGGGCGGGUCCCCCGCCUGGGGCCUCUGCGCAGCUCCGAGCAGGGCGCCCUGCCCCACGCCGCCGUCCUGGGCACCCUCCUGCGCGUGCAGCCGGUGGUGCUUCAGGAGCGAGGACCCUCGGAUGAAGCGCUGCCCACACCGCAGGCACCGGUAGGGCCGCUCCCCGCUGUGGAUGCGGCCGUGCUCGUUGAGGGUGAACCUGCGGCAGAACGCCUUGCCGCACUCUGUGCACGCGAAGGGCUUCUCCCCGGUGUGGAACUUCUGGUGCUGCAGCAGCCGGGAGCUGCGGCUGAAGGCCUUGCCGCACUCGCCGCAUGCGUAGGGCCGCUCGCGGGUGUGGACGCGGUGGUGGGCAGCCAGCUGCGUGCUCUGCCGGAAGGCCUUCCCGCACUCGCCGCUGGGAGGCCGAGGCGGCGGAUCACAAGGUCAGGAGAUCGAGACCAUCCUCGCUAACAUGGUGAAACCUCGUCUCUAUUAAAAAUACAAAAAAAAAAAUUGGCUGGGCGUGGUGGUGGGCGUCUGUAGUCCCAGCUACUCGGGAGGCUGAGGCAGAAGAAUGGCGUGAACCCGGGAGGUGGAGCUUGCAGUGAGCCGAGAACGCGCCAGCCUGGGCCAAAGUGCGAGACUCCGUCUCAAAAAAAAAAAUAAUGGCCAGGCGCGGUGGCUCACGCCUGUAAUCCCAGCACUCUGGGAGGCCGAGGCGGUGGAUCACAAGGUCAGGAGAUCGAGACCAUCCUGGCUCACACGGUGAAACCUCGUCUCUACUAAAAAUACAAAAAAUUAGCCGGGCAUGGUGGCGGGCGCCUGUAGUCCCAGCUACUUGGGAGGCUGAGGCAGGAGAAUGGCGUGAACCCGGGAGGCGGAGCUUGCAGUGAGCUGAGAUCGCGCCACUGCUCUCCAGCCUGGGCGACAGAGCGAGACUCCAUCUCAAAAAUAAUAAUAAUAAUAAUCUCUGUUCUACAAUUAUAACCUAGGAAAAACCAGGCCAUACAGAGAUAGGAGCUGAAGGGACACAGUGAGAAGUGACCAGAAGACAAGAGUGUGAGCCUCUGUCACGCCCGGACAGGGCCACUAGAGGGCUCCUUGGUCUAGCGGUAACGCCAGUGCCUGGGAAGACGCCCGUUACUUAGUUGACCUUGGUCUAGCAGUAACCCCAGUGCCUGGGAAGGCACUAGUUACAUAGCAGACCUGGAAAGGGAGUCUUCCUUUCCCCAGGGUAGUUAGAGAAGACUCUGCUCCACCACCUCUUGUGGAAGGCCUGACAUCAGUCAAACUCGCCCACAGCCAUGCUGAGGCCUGACCGUCUCCCUGUGAUGCUGUGUUUCAGUGGUCAUGCUCCUGUUUCACUUUCAUGUUCCACCCUGUACACCUGGCUCUGCCUUCUAGACAGCAGUAACAGAAUUAGUGAAAGUACUAAAAGUCAUUAAAAUGCAUAGAAGAAAUAAUGGCGUAAGCUGUCCUGUCUCUCUCUCCGCCUCGGCUGUCAAACAGGGAAGGACCCCCUGUCCGGUGAACAUGUGACUCACAUGACCUUAUCAAUCAUUGGAAAUGACUCACACUCUUUACCCUGCCCCUUUCGCCUUGUAUCCAAUAAAUAACAGCGCAGCCAGGCAUUCAGGACCA